UAGGGAAUCUUCGGCAAUGGACGAAAGUCUGACCGAGCAACGCCGCGUGAGUGAAGAAGGUUUUCGGAUCGUAAAACUCUGUUGUUAGUGAAGAACAAGGACGUUAGUAACUGAACGUCCCCUGACGGUAUCUAACCAGAAAGCCACGGCUAACUACGUGCCAGCAGCCGCGGUAAUACGUAGGUGGCAAGCGUUGUCCGGAUUUAUUGGGCGUAAAGCGAGCGCAGGCGGUUUCUUAAGUCUGAUGUGAAAGCCCCCGGCUCAACCGGGGAGGGUCAUUGGAAACUGGGAGGCUUGAGUGCAGAAGAGGAGAGUGGAAUUCCAUGUGUAGCGGUGAAAUGCGUAGAUAUAUGGAGGAACACCAGUGGCGAAGGCGGCUCUCUGGUCUGUAACUGACGCUGAGGCGCGAAAGCGUGGGGAGCAAACAGG
RNAcentral lists this ribosomal RNA (429 nucleotides) under Gemmatimonadota bacterium. RNAcentral's name for it is "Gemmatimonadetes bacterium partial 16S ribosomal RNA". It matches the Rfam family "Bacterial small subunit ribosomal RNA", at positions 355 to 776 of the family's 1533-position model. The record is from RNAcentral. Lineage: Bacteria; Pseudomonadati; Gemmatimonadota.